RNAcentral lists this unclassified non-coding RNA (767 nucleotides) under Hevea brasiliensis (rubber tree). Lineage: Eukaryota; Viridiplantae; Streptophyta; Magnoliopsida; Malpighiales; Euphorbiaceae. The record is from RNAcentral.
GUCGAUUCCAAUUAUUUCAGUACAAUUUUCAUGGAGGCUGGUACAGCUGUUAUGCAGCAGGUACAAAUCAGUGAGGCAGUAUUGGAAAAACAUGUAUACUCUGUUUGGGCUCUGCCGAGGGAGGAGGUGAGAGUUAGGGUGAAGAAGUUGAUGGAGGGUCUCCGAUCGGAAUUUGGUGGGCCUCAGUUUGAACCUCACGUGACCGUCAUCGGAGCUAUUCGGUUGACGGAGGCUGAGGCACGUGACAGGUUCAAAAAAGCUUGUGAGACAGUGAAAGCUUAUAGUGCUACAGUGGAGAAGAUUGAUAGUGGCACUUUCUAUUAUCAGUGUGUUUACCUUUUGCUUCAUCCAACCACUGAGGUUGUGGAAGCAAGUGCUCUCUGCUGCAGUCACUUUGGUUACAACAGAUCGGGAUCAUAUAUGCCACAUUUGAGCCUUCUUUACGGAGAUUUAACCGAUGAAGAAAAGAAGAAAGCUCAAGAAAAGGCUUAUAUCCUCGACGAGGGCAUUUCCAGCUUGAGCUUCCCGAUAUCUCAUCUUGCAUUGUGUAAAACAGACACUGAAGAUAAAAGCUGCAAAUCAUGGGAGACAGUGGAGGAGUGCUCUCUUCAGCCAUAACUAGCAUGCUAAAAGCUAAUAAUUUGUUGGCCAUGAGCCGAAUCUCAUCUCGUUUACAUUUUUACCUUACACACCUUGAACUGCAGCUGCAGCCUGCAAGGUUGAACUUUGCAAAAGUUGUAUUACUCUUUUUAUGUGCUAUAAAUAAG